CCCUUAGAUGUUCUGGGCCGCACGCGCGCUACACUGAUGCAUUCAACGAGUCUAAAACCUGCUCUGAUAGGGGUGGGUAAUCUUUUGAAUGUGCAUCGUGAUUGGGAUAGAUGAUUGCAAUUUUUCAUCUUCAACGAGGAAUGCCUAGUAAACGCAAGUCAUCAGCUUGCAUUGAUUACGUCCCUUCCCUUUGUACACACCGCCCGUCGCUCCUACCGAUUGAAUGAUCCGAUGAAUAUCAUGGAUUGAGGAUGCAAGUAGGUUAGCCUAUCUUCAUCUUCGAGAAGUGAAGUAAAUCUUAUCAUUUAGAGGAAGGAGAAGUCGUAACA
RNAcentral lists this ribosomal RNA (329 nucleotides) under uncultured eukaryote. Its description in RNAcentral is "partial 18S ribosomal RNA". It matches the Rfam family "Eukaryotic small subunit ribosomal RNA", at positions 1470 to 1796 of the family's 1831-position model. The record is from RNAcentral.